UCUAGGCUAAUGUCUUAUGACCAAAUGUUUAAUCUUUCAUUCUUCAUUGUCUUUGUCUCAAAACCACUUCUAAAUGGUCUUGUGCCUUCUUUCACUGCUUUUCCGUGGACAGAAUUAUGUAUCGCACAUAUAGGAUGUAAGUACUGCCUGCUAAUUUCUCAUUAGCAGGGCUCUUAUAUCUUUCUAACUUCUGACAUGGUUUCAUCCCCUCUGGAGAGUGAUCAGCCUUUACAAUAGGACAGCAGAUGGUGGCCAUAAAUACCAGGCCUCCCAUGAAAGCCUUCUUUAUAUUCACUUGUAUUCACAUUCCUGUUUUUGUUUUUGGUUUGUUUUUUUGUUGUUGUCAUUAUUUUGGGUUUUUUUGAAACAGGGUCUCAUAGUCCAAGCUGUCUUGGAGCUCUCCAUGUAGACCAGGCUACCCUUGAAUUCCUAAAGUUUCAGCUGUCUCUGCUUCCCAAAGUCCUGGUAUUAAAGAGGUGCAUCACCACAGCAGACCCAGUUUCCUGUUCCUAAGAUAAGGCUACUGAGAUGCAUGCAUUCCACAACUGGCCUAUGGGCUCAAAAUACUGCCUUCCAAACAAGACAACACUGUUUGGGGCUGUGUGUAAUUCAAGUAUAAUUUUAAUGAAUUUGAAUUUGUAAAUUUUGCAUAACUAUAUAAUAUUGGCCUGGUUCUAUCUAUAUCUACUUUUUGACUUCUUCAAAAAGUAAUGACUAUCUUUCAAAGUAUAAAAUGUACUGAAAAACUAUAUAAGAUGCCUAUGAUGAGAACUUUCACAGAGAGAGAAGGGAACAUCAGUCUACACCAUUAUUACUACUUCGGCUCAUAGUAAUGGAUUUUCAAUCUAUAUAAGUAUUUUCUGCUCCAAGUGAACUAGAAGUUCAAGAUUGUGGACAAGGCUUUUGCACAUCAGAGAUAAUACACUUAACCUAUAAUGUAAACACAAAUUAAAGUUGCCUGCUCUCUCUUAGAAUAAUCCUGAAGCAGUGCUGUUACUUCAGGCACUUUCCUAUCAAUUUAAAUCCUUCAGAGGGGCUGGAACCAGAAGUUGAACAUCUGUCUUGAAGCUUUGAGGCAGCUAGCAGUGCUAAUAUUAUCCUUGUGAAGAAAUCCCUCUUAGUUCAGGAGCCUCUUUUUGCUUCCUUUAGUCAAGCUCGAAGCCUGAGUGGGCAUCCUGAAGCAGCCCAGAUGGUUCGCCGAGAAUUCCAGCUGGAUUUAGAUGAGAUUGAAAAUGAUAAUGGUACAGUCCGCUGUGAAAUGCCAGAGCUUGUCCAGCACAAACUUGAUGACAUUUUUGAACCUGUCCUUAUUCCUGAACCUAAGUAAGUUCAGCUUUCUCAAAUACAAACAGCUUGUGAUCAUUAGAGUCUAUACCUGGAAGUAUGCUGUUGAAAAUUCCUAGAGUUGAUUACUACCUAGUAGUGACCUCUUUACUAAAACCUGGAUCUAGUAAAGAAUUGCAUAAUUCCCACUCAUAUUCAUAUUGAAUUUUUCCUUUUGAUGUGUUGUCUAGGAUCCGGGCUGUUUCUCCACAUUUUGAUGACAUGCACAGUAAUACAGCAUCCACAAUCAAUUUCAUUAUCUCCCAAGUAGCCAGUGGUGACAUCAACACAAGCAUCCAAGCUCUGACACAGGUAAUGGGAAUGCUUCCCACAGUAGUGACUUCACUGACCUCUGUAGAGACUUGUAAGAAUAAUGGAUUAUAUACUAGUAUAAUAACAGUAUUGAAGCACACAGGUAGUGUCCAGUAUUAUCCUGAUUUUUUAAAAAAGGACACAGGGACCACUUGGUUACCAUUUGUAUAAAGUCCCCUGGAACCAGAGUUACAGACAAUUGUGAGCUACCAAAUGGGUGCCAGGAAUCAAACCCAGGUCCUCCGGAAGAGUUGCCAGUGUUCUUAUGUAUGAGCCAUUUGUUCAGUCCCCAGAAGAUAGUUGUUUGUAGCCAUUUUCUGCUUCCUUCCCUAACAGUUCAGUUUAAGUGUAUAUAAACAGGGAAGAGCUAGCUAGGUUUGUGUUUGCUGUGGUGACAAUGAUUGUUAGUGGGGAACCACGUUAGCUCAGAGCCAGGAGAUAAAAGUCCAGUGGAUUACAAGGAAAGUGUUCAUAAAAGAACAUUGACAUGUAGUUGUGUAUCAGUUCUCAAGUAAAGGAUGUCUAUGGGGGGGGCAGGCACCCUGUCAUCGUGUUAAGGCCCCAAGCAAAGCGAGUAGCAUGCAGAGUGGCUCAGAAUGAGGGAUCAUCCAAACAAGAAUGGGGGCAUCAAAAUGGAGAAGGGCUGGAGGCAGAAAUAGAAGAUUGGUCAUAUAGAGACUGGUU
RNAcentral lists this long non-coding RNA (2319 nucleotides) under Mus musculus (house mouse). RNAcentral describes it as "long non-coding RNA chr2:91599491-91601810". Lineage: Eukaryota; Metazoa; Chordata; Mammalia; Rodentia; Muridae. The record is from RNAcentral.